GGCGGCAGGCUUACACAUGCCAGUCGAUGCGGUAGCAGAGAAGCUUGCUUCUCUUGAAGAGCGGCGGACGGGUGAGUAAUGCCUAGGAAUCUGCCUGGUAGUGGGGGAUAACGUUCGGAAACGAACGCUAAUACCGCAUACGUCCUACGGGAGAAAGCAGGGGACCUUCGGGCCUUGACGCUCAUCAGAUGAGCCUAAGUCGGAUUAAGCUAGUUGGUGAGAGUAAUGGCUCACCAAGGCGACGAUCCGUAACUGGGUCUGACGAGGAUGAUCAGUCACACUGGAACUGAGACACGGUCCAGACUCCUACGGGAGGCAGGCAGUGCGGGAAUAUNGGACAAUGGGCGAAAG
RNAcentral lists this ribosomal RNA (351 nucleotides) under Pseudomonas sp. I-03. Its description in RNAcentral is "bacterial SSU rRNA". It matches the Rfam family "Bacterial small subunit ribosomal RNA", at positions 38 to 381 of the family's 1533-position model. Lineage: Bacteria; Pseudomonadati; Pseudomonadota; Gammaproteobacteria; Pseudomonadales; Pseudomonadaceae. The record is from RNAcentral.